UCUUGUCCUGAAAUAAACAAUGAAAAUAUGAGAAAUUUAUUUAUCAAUUAGAAUACUUCUUAUUUCUUGUCAUCUUACCUUGAAUGUUACGUGGAUUUAAAAAUGGAAUGUUUAAUAUAAGUAUCAGUAAUAUAUUAUUGGUGUGGCAAUCGGUCGCAAGAGUUACUAUUUUAAGCCAAGAAGAAGCGCUAAUGUGUCUAUCUAAGCUGUAUAGUCGUCCUUCCGAUUCGGCAAUUUCAACCUGCAAUGAUCGAAACUUAUUUAACUCGAUGAUCUCGCUUGUAGCAUCUUUCCUUAAAAAAGUAACUGCCCUGACAAUUGGCAGACGAUUUUGUAGUGAGCUCGAUGCUCCGAAUUUCUCCAAACUCAUUAUUGAGUCGUUUGACACCAUUGGAGGAUACAUGAUUUAUAAAUAAGGUCUCAAAUAAUGAGGCACUAAAAUUUCGAUCAAAAAUCGUAGUAGAAGAUUCACAAAAACGUUCUCGUACUUUUGGCUACUAAGAACUCUGAGUUAAAACUGUUGUGACUUAACAUUGGCGUUGAAAAUUUACUGAGAGUUCUAUGGGUCUUGAUGACCACCAAAUGAAGUGAAAAUUUCUACUAACUACCAACUGAGUUACGCACAGCCUUUAAAUAUGUCUGGAUUGUUAAUUUGACCCCCACUAGUUUUUCCUACGAGUAUAUGUCUAAUUGUAUUUAAACGCCCUAAAGGGAGGAGACACCCUCUUCCCAUCACACAUCUCGAAUAUUGUCCAAUAGUGUUACAGAAUGGUGGGGGGGUGUAGUAAGCUAUUCGCUGGGGUUGGUUCGCUUUUGUAAUACUGCAAGGUGUAAUGGUACUUUUUGCAGAUUCUAUACUUUUGAAGAUUCUUAACUCUCCCUCUCAUCUUCGUAUAUUGUUAAAUAUUUAUUAUUUUAAUGCAAAAAUGCAAAUUUUACAGCAAGAUUCUGACAUUUUACAAAACAUUUUUAUUUUAUUUUUUCGUAACUAACAACAAAUUUUAUAUAAUUAUAAACAAAAUGUUUAAGUUGACAUAUGAGUUAAUUUUAAAUAAACAAUUUUUUUUUAGAAUUUUAUAACGAUGAAAAGACUUUUUAAAAGAUGUAGACAUUUUUUUUAAUUUUUCGACAAAUGUAUGAAAAUCACAAAAAUCAUGUUCAUGUAAAAUGUUAUUUAAUUUACAAUUUUAUUUGUUUCAACAAUUCGUGUAUUUUCAGUAAUGAUUUCUUCAAUUCCUUUCAAGUUUUGUGAAAAUAUGAUGAUUUGAGAUCAAAUUUUAGGUUCAUACCUGCAUGGGUCUUAUGUCCGUGUUCGCGGAUGCGUGACGAACAUAAUGAACCCGAAAUAUUUAUCUUUUUCCUACCCAUGGAGGACAUUUACUUACUAUUUUAAAACAUACUAAUUAAUAAUCGCGAAAAUCGACAGAAAUCUUUGAUUUAUGAUGGAAAAGACUGUUUAACAAUUAAUAAAUAUCAUAGAAAAUAUCGAAAAAAAUAAGAGCUAUAGAGAUUCAUUGUAAAUUCUGAUAAAAAUGACAGAAUCAUAAAGUCUAACUAAUAAAUGUUCUCUGAAAAAAUUUU
Vespula pensylvanica (western yellowjacket) is the source of this 1581-nucleotide long non-coding RNA. RefSeq lists it as uncharacterized. The record is from RefSeq and is a predicted model, not a curated record. The transcript is spliced from 4 exons. NCBI's taxonomy places the organism in Eukaryota, Metazoa, Arthropoda, Insecta, Hymenoptera, Vespidae.